RNAcentral lists this ribosomal RNA (460 nucleotides) under uncultured bacterium. Its description in RNAcentral is "partial 16S ribosomal RNA". It matches the Rfam family "Bacterial small subunit ribosomal RNA", at positions 338 to 795 of the family's 1533-position model. The record is from RNAcentral.
CCUACGGGUGGCAGCAGUGAGGAAUAUUGGUCAAUGGGCGCGAGCCUGAACCAGCCAAGUAGCGUGAAGGAUGACUGCCCUACGGGUUGUAAACUUCUUUUAUAAAGGAAUAAAGUGAGGCACGUGUGCCUUUUUGUAUGUACUUUAUGAAUAAGGAUCGGCUAACUCCGUGCCAGCAGCCGCGGUAAUACGGAGGAUCCGAGCGUUAUCCGGAUUUAUUGGGUUUAAAGGGAGCGUAGAUGGGUUGUUAAGUCAGUUGUGAAAGUUUGCGGCUCAACCGUAAAAUUGCAAUUGAUACUGGCAGUCUUGAGUACAGUUGAGGUAGGCGGAAUUCGUGGUGUAGCGGUGAAAUGCUUAGAUAUCACGAAGAACUCCGAUUGCGAAGGCAGCUUUCCAAGCUAUUACUGACGCUGAGGCACGAAAGCGUGGGGAGCGAACAGGAUUAGAUGCCCCGGUAGUC